UCUCAGAUGAUGUAUUAAAGUCACAUAUUAUUUAAUAGUAAGGUCAAAAAUAUAUAUAAUUUAGUCACAGAUUCACGAUUUAAUUAGUCACAUAUUAUUUUUCGGUCAUAAAUCAAAAUUUUUAUAUAUCACAAACUAUUUUGCGGUCACAAUUCAAAAAUUCAAUAGGUCACAAUUUGUUCAUUGGUUACGAAUCAGAAAAUUUUAUAUGUCACAAAUUAUUUAUUAGUCACAGAUUACAAAUAUUAUAAGUCACAGUUUAUUAAACAGCCACAAAUUAACAAAUUUUUUAGGUCACAUUUUUUUUUUCACAAUUCCUCUUGUUUCACUGGUCACAUGUUUAUCGGUCACAGAUAAAAUGAUCCGUGACUGCCACCAACACUUAUGACCACCACCCCACCACUGCUGCAGCUGUAUUGACGUCACAACUGCCACUUCCAAAGCAACCACCACCAUGUCCCGGUGGCCUUGUCACCACCAACACAAAAUCACUAAAAAGUUACCACAAAACAACCUAAAUCCAUCCCAAAAAAGAAACACCACAAACCACGAAUCCAUCCCUGUCCGUCGCGCACAAUACCAAUCUCGCCGUGGGCGACGAAAGCAAGUACCUGCUGACGGGGGUUGAGCUAGAAGACAAGAAUCAUGGGGGCAAAUUUCAUAAAUUGGCAAAAUGUAAAAAAUAUAAGGACUUUUAAAAAAAAUAAAUUAAAAUUUGGUUCAAAACAACAAAUUUUGUAAAAAACCAUGGGGGCAGUGGGUUGUAAAUCCGCCCCUGCCUACCGAUGAAAAGAACGAAGAAAAAGGAAGAUGAUUGUGGCCACUGCUCUUCACAUCGCGAUGAUGGUGGUGCGGGUUAGGUGGCGGGGAUUACUGCGAUGUUGUUCAACAUAACAUGAGGUUAAGCGAUAGCUGCACAACGCAGUGGAUAUCGCCUGAAUCGAAACAGGUUUUUUAGGCUGCUAAAAGAGAGAGAAGAUGGGUGGAGAGAGAAUACGAGUGGGAGGAUAGAAGAAAGAUUGAAGAGAGAGAGAGAGAGAGAGAGAGAGAGAUUAGAUAGAGGUACGAG
This 1069-nucleotide long non-coding RNA is filed under the name Olea europaea subsp. europaea. Lineage: Eukaryota; Viridiplantae; Streptophyta; Magnoliopsida; Lamiales; Oleaceae. The record is from RNAcentral.